This is a long non-coding RNA of Saccostrea echinata, 531 nucleotides long. RefSeq lists it as uncharacterized. The record is from RefSeq and is a predicted model, not a curated record. NCBI's taxonomy places the organism in Eukaryota, Metazoa, Mollusca, Bivalvia, Ostreida, Ostreidae. The transcript has 2 exons.
UGUAUUUAUGAAAACAUUGACUAUAUUUCUCCAGAUGUAUGAAAUGUUUAUCAAAGUAUGAAUUCCAUUUUAGCAUGUUAUCUUCAAAAUGAGGGACCUCUCAAAUUUACAAUUCCAAGAUCAGGAAAUAAUUCAUGAGCAGCAACAUGCUACUGGGAGAAAGGAAAAUAGUAGAAGACUGCCUGCAUGAGAAUAAAAGUUUUGGACUCUGAAAAGGAAGAUGUGACAAAAUAUAUAUUUGGACAGUUGUUGAUUUCCACAGAAACACAUGUCCAGUAACAAGAAAGCGGAGCACAGUUUCAUGUCAGUUCAAAUCUUUAAAUUCAAGGAUGAACAAUUGGUUCUUUAUAAAACAAAAUGACAUGUUUGAAAAGGAUUUUGGUGAAAUGUACUCUGUCCUGGAUACUUAUUUAUGUGUAUGGGAUUUGCAGGAUAGACUAUGAACAACAGAUACUGUCACGAAAUUUGAUGUUUUUGAUUAUAUGUUUGUAUAAAAAUGUUUGGUAUAGUAAUAAACAAAGUUUAAUUCAA